AAGGAUGCUGCGGGGAACUCUAGCAUGGUACAUAGCUGUUCUUAUUUAUUUUCUCUGCUGCAAAGAGCAGUUUAUGAACUAUGUACACAGUUUCACACAUAGCGGGCAGUGCUACGAAAGAUAGAGAAAGUUCCCUUACUGCUGGCAUUCGCAACCCAAAAAUACCAGUGCGUCACAUAUAAAACAGCUGUGCGUCACAUAGUUCGAUGUAAUACUAAGUUUUGUACUUUUGUGUCGCCAAGUAUGAUGCGUUUGUUACUUGGAAGGUGUCACAGAUCGAAACUUAUUUUUCACCCAAACGAGCGGAGUCACGCGUCUCUGUGACUAGCGGCCACAGUGCGUCGUUUGCGCUCGCGACCAGAACAUAGUGCGUCGCAUACUGGGAGCACCAAGCCAUACAAAUACUGGCAAGUGGUUUGACGUAGCCUUACGCCCACUUGUUGUAAUUGUAAUAUUAUCAUCAUCAGCCUAUAUUUAUGUGCACUGCAGGACGAAGGCCUCUUCUUGCAUCUCCAAUUACCCCUGUCUUGCGCUAGCUGAUAUCAACUUGCGCCUGCAAAUUUCCUAACUUCAUUACCUCACCUAGUUUUCUACCGUUCUCGACUGCGCUUCCCUUCUCUUGGUAUCCAUUCUGUAACUCUAAUGGUCCACCGGUUAUCCACCCAACGCAUUACAUGGCCUACCCAGCUCAAUGUUUUCCUCUUAAUGUCAACUAGAAUAUCGGCUAUACUCGUUUGCUCUCUGAUCCACACCGCUCUCUUCCCGUCUCUUAAAGUUAGGCCUAACAUUUUUCGUUCGAUCGCUCUUUGUGCGGUCCUUAACUUGUUCUCGAGCGUCUUUGUUAACCUCAAAGUCUCUGCCCCAUAUCUUAGCCCUGGUGGAAUGCAAUGAUUGUACACUUUUCUUUUCAACGACAGUGGUAAGCUCCCAGUCAGGAUUUGAUAAUGCCUGCCGCAUGCACUCCAACCCAAUUUUAUUCUUCUGCAUAUUUCAUUCUCAUGAUCAGGGUCCCCUGUGAGUAAUCGAGAAAUCUGCAGAGUACAAUCAUCCUCUCUAUAUGUCUUUCAUUGAUUAUGAAAAGGUAUUUUAUUCAGUAGAGAUACCAGCAGUCAUAGAGGCAUUGCGUACUCAAGGAGUACAGGAGGCAUACGUGAAUAUCUUCGCAAAUAUCUACAAGGUUUGCACAGCAACCUUGGUUCUCAACAAGAAAAGUAGAAAGUUACCUAUCAAGAAAGGGGUCAGGCAAGGUUACACAAUCUCUUCAAUGCUAUUCACUGCAUGCUUAGAAGUAUUCAAGCUCUUAGACUGGGAAGGCUUAGAAGUGAGGAUCAACGGUGAAUAUCUCGGCAACCUUCGGUUUGCAGAUGACAUUGUCCUAUUCAGCAACAAUGGGGACGAAUUGCAACAAAUGAUUGAGGGCCUUAACCGAGAAAGUGUAAGAGUGGGGUUGAAGAUUAAUAUGCAGAAGACAAAGAUAAUGUUCAAUAGCCUGGCAAGGGAACAAGAAUUCAGAAUUGUCAGUCAGCCUCUACAGUCUGUAAAGGAGUACAUUUAUCUAGGUCAAUUACUCACCGGGGACCGUGAUCAUGAGAAGGAAAUUUACAGAAUAAAAUUGUAAUACAUGAAAUAGUUAUUCUUUAGGGAAACACGCGGUAUGAGACUUCUCUGACCGCACUACUUGCAUAGCAUCUGCAGCGUUGCCUGCUAAGUAUGAAACUGAGUACUAUAGGAAAUGGGCCAAUUGUGUUCGGUUGUGCGUUCUCCACAGUUUGGGUCAGGCAUGGCUCAUAAGAAAACAUAUCCGAGCAGGCGGAAUCGAACCAACUACUGACCAUUGUGCUGUUUUUAAGAGGAGGCCUUACUGCGGUGGCCACCUCUGGUAUCCCUAUUCAAAUGCACGUGAAACGUAGAAAUGCUCUUGUUGGACAACCGCUGAACCGGUUCGAAUGAAAUUCGAUGCAUUUAAGAGAGAAAGCCAACUUCUACCAACUGUAGGCAGCAUAAUUUUUAUUGCAGGUUGCAUAGUUCCAUAAACCACACGUUACAUCAUAUUACAGUGUUGUCACAAUGCUUACGAGGGCUUUGCGGAAGCCCUACGUGUGAAUUAGUGGUAUAUUUCAUAGUGGUGUAUGGUACAUCAAUUUAGAUGUCUCCAUAGGUGGAGUUUACGGAAUUGUAAUACUGUUGGCAUCAGAAGUUUACGGAACAUGUGGCGCAGUGAAAAAUGGAUGAGACAUAUGCGACUUUGCUGUAAUCAUUGACGAAAGACCAGUGCUGUUGCUUGUUUUCACUGCUAAGAAUCUUGCCACCAUGACGCGAUGCGCUCUCUGGCCAUUGCUUCAUUCCUGUGACUCACAGUUGCUCACGUGAUCUCAUCUGGCACUGCGGAGUGUAUACCGCCGUAAGUAACGUGUGCAAUAAAGCAUUUAAUUUGUAAAGCAAUUUGCGAUGCCCACAUUGGCUGAUAGAGGAAUGCAGCUGUUGACUGUGACAGUCUAAGAAAGCAGUGGCAAACACACCGUUGUCCAAUUCGAAAAGAAUUUGUAUGAGCACACCAGCAAAGUACGUUCGCUCACUUCCGUGACGUCACACCGCACGCAAAUUUCUUUAAUUACCGACAUCUUGUGAGAACUCUGUCCUGCAAUGUAGAGACACAAAGGACAGGCACAAGUGUGGUUUUGUGGGCGCAACCUGUGCUUCUUAGGUUUUCAUUGAGUAUGUACCUUGCACAAUGAUUCAGAUCCAAGUACUUAUAUUCCUGCUUUAGUGAUAGUUCUUAAAUGAACUUCACCCCUUUGCAAGAUGUUUUAGUGGGCCCUGCAGUAACUGUAUGUAAUGUUCCAUGCCUCGCAGAAUUAAGCGAUACACCUGAGAUCUUCCGUGUGAUGAUGUGCAAUGUUUUCUGUAUUCCUGCAACGUUUUGUUGUGGUCUGACUUUUUAUAUCUUUAUAUGCAUAUUUUAUUGUGUCUGCGUGAUCUGUACAUCGCACUUCCCUACUUUGUUUUCUCCGGUAUGUCCUACAAAGUACGCACCCUACAUUUUCCGACUUCUAUUUCUGUAACGGUAAUCAUUCCAAGCAGCCCACUGAGUGUUCUUUUCAAUUACUGAGGCUUUAAUAACUGAUUACUCCUCCUGUAAUUGACCUGCGUCUUUACAGCUUCCUCUGUAGGUGAAAUGCAGCGUCCACUGUAUUCCUCCAGUGUUUCACUCUGAUUCAACUUUUCGUUGUCUUGCAAUUGGCUUGCACAAUUUUCCAAGCGGGAAAAAUUAUUUUAGUAGCAGGAACAGUUUUGCUGUAAAGACAGAGUUUCCUCACCGCCUCGGCUCGCAUCAUCGAAUUGAGUGAUGCAGUCUGUCAGUCACACAUCCAACUGAAAACUGCAGAACUCCGAUUUUAUCCUUCUACAUGCUUCCAGACUGGUUAGAAAAUUUUUAUUUGAUACACGUCCCUCGACUUGCAAUACUUUGGUGAAGACAGCACACCCGGUGUCAUACCUUUAUAAACUAGCUGCAGUCAUGUAAAAGGGAAACCUAAAGGUGAUGGAAACUACUUUUUCUCGCAUCUUAGGCACACGGUCUGUGGCACAUGACCAUUGAAAGCGCACUGCUCGUGCUGUGUUAGUGUGAUGUCCCAAGCUAUUGCCAUUUGCCAACAUGUGUGGCACAUCCUGAUGACGACAUGCUGGCGGCAACAUUUACUGAAGCCGUGCAAACCUUGAAACAGUGGAGCAUGAACGAUGCAGCUUUUUUUUUAACAACAUUAGUACGUAUUGCAGAAUGAAUUGACACACAUUGCGCGCAUAUUACAAGAUGGAUUGAUACACAUUGUUAAUUAUGAAAUGCUCAUUUUUUCAUUGACUACUGCUUUAAAUAUAUGUUUAGUAUGUCCUAGAAAGCGAUAUUACUCACAUUAUCUCGUCUUGGAACAUUUUUGAUUGAAGGUACUGUGUUCUCCCUUUGGCAUGUCUCAAAGAUGCGCAAUGGCACGCAGCUGCAUGGCCUUAGUUUUUCCUAUAAGGGUAUGAUCCCUCACACUUUUUUACUUCUUAUUUUGAAAUGUUGUGACUCCUCAGCAGUAACCUUGAAAAGGUUGCAAAUAGCAGCAUGUUCCCAGGUGAAGGCUAGUUGCAAAACGGCCACGCAAGAACCACUGUGGAACUCCUCUUGACAGCUUUGCUGCAAAAACAUGCAUUUCAUAAGUCGCAUGAAUGCCAGCAUUCAGUUUCAUUUUUCUGCAUGGCGCUUGGUGUGGAACUUUAGUGGCAUGGUGAUACCAUACCUGCCAAGUCUCCCUGAUUACCCGGGAGACUCCCGGAUUUGGACCAUUUCUUCCGGUUGUACGGUUGACAGGAAAAUCUCCCGGAAAUUGCACUUGUGUCCCAUUUCUACCCGCGUCCAACGCCUUGUCAGGUCACAUUGGGAAAAAGAAUCCAACCCAAUCCAAUCCAGUUGGAAGUUCUUCGUGCAAAACAUUACGAGCACAUCAUAAUUGGAUUAGUAGGGAAAACCCUAUACAUGCGCUAUUUCGUUAACCUCGGAGCCGCUGACGGGGUUGUUGGGUGCCCUAGUGGCCCUAUUCUCAUUAAGCUAGCGAGCGAAUGCCGCGUUCCGCAACUAGCAACUCUCGACUCUCCAUCGUUCUCCUCGGUGUUAGCCGCUCUGGCAUUGCGUACGCCUACUGUCAAUCAUGACUUUAAAAUCAAGGAGCACUAGCGCAAAAGGUAUUUUCGAGUAUUUUAAUGCAGUGUUCAGCCGAAGUGACGCUGGGUAUUUUGUUGAUACCAUAGAGCAAUGCAGAGUGCGAGCGGCAAUUUAACAUCGGGAAAAAUACGAGUGCUGCUCGUCCAUGUGUUGCUCGUCUAAGACACUGGGAAACGGCAUCCUCGCAAAAUGUGAAAGAAAUGGAAUUUAUUACAAUCAAACAUUAUCUGCAGAAUUUUGGAACACCCGCCAUUGUGGCUUUGGCACCCACCCGCCUCAGUGGCUUUUGCAUUGCGCUGCUAAGCACGAGUUCGUGGGAUCAAAUCUCGGCGGCGGCGGCGGCGGCGGCUGCAUUUCGUUGUCGGCGAAAUGCAAAAACGACCGUGUGCCAUCCAUAGGGUGCACGUUAAAGAACGCCAGGUGGUAUAAAUUAAUCCGGAGUUCCCCACUACGGCAUACCUCAUAAUCAGAUGGUGGUUGUGGGAUGUAGGACCCGAGAAUUUAAUUAAAUUUUAAAGAAUUUUUGAAGGCUAAAUUAGCAACAACAAAAUGCUUGCAAAAGUGAGACCUUGAUGUUCAUUUGGUCACUUGUAUAUCCGUAAAUAAAAUUAUAAUGAAGUUCCCCUGUCAGUACUUGAAAAUAUAGACGUCGGCGGGGGUAGGGCGUGUUGCGUAACUGUCGGUCGGAAGAUCUCCCGGAUUUAGUUUCUUGGAACUUGGCAGGUAUGCGAUCCAGUCGAACUCAGUUGUAACGAACAGGCAUGUGCGCUAAGAAUAGUUCGACAUAUCAGGCUAUUCGAUUUACCCAAACUCACCAAUAGAGAACACAAAAUUUUGGGAAACAUUCCUUAUAUACAAAUUUGUUAUCUCCAGUGGAGAUGAUAAGCGAGGAAGGAAUUCAUUUGUUAAAAGCAAAGCUCUGCUUAGCAGGCAGUACUUUUUUCGUGUGUUUUUAAAGUGUACCUCAGUGUCACUAAGAAUGACGUUCUUGAUUAGCAGAAUUUUGUAGACCUGUUCUAGUCCACUUCCCUUAAUAUUCUUGUAGUAUUGGCGCAGUAAAUCCACUGCAAAAGUAAGUUCAGAAACUUAAGGCGAGGCGGCUCUUCACCUGGCAGUGAAUGCCCCCCCGAGUUCGAUACGUCCAAUGUCCAUUUCAUUGUGAGGGAGAUAUUUUGUAUCUGUCAGUAAGUUUCAUGCAUUUAAUGUAAUGAAUAAUUUGCUUUAUCCAGGUUUGUUAUACUGUAUUUGAGUUCGACUGUAUUUAGGCGGUGGCACUCUCAUCGCAUUACUCACUUGUUUUUACUUUUUUAGGGCUAAGUGUAAUGUUCUCCAGUCGUUUAUUUAACCAUAGUUUAGCCUGCAACUGCCUUUGUGGCUGUUGAUAUUAUCUCAAGCAGAUGGUACAAGAGUUGCAUAACAGUCGUAGCACACAUAAUGUGAUGAUUGUGCAUGUGGAAUGUGAAAUCCUUGGUACUUGUAGGUGAAACGUGAUGGGGGAGAGUGAUAAACUAUCUCAAUUUCGUUUGAGAGUUUCCUGAUACACUUUUUAAUAGUGUGUGCUGUUGUCUGCUGCAAGGUGGCUAACCUAAGCUUUUGUAAGUUUCUGUAUCAUAUUAGUUUUGAAACUGCAUUUAAGCCAGAGCUAUUCCCCGAUGUCGGUUUGUAAGGGUCAAUUGACUGACACAUCAACAGGGUGAGACAAAAGUAAAUUUUAUUUCGAUGUGGCUGUUGCAGACAUUGCCUAUUGUCUGCUGAAGAGAAAGUGCUUGAAGUGGCAAAUCUCACUCAUCAAAAACAUCUUGACUGGACAGGUUGAUUAUCUUGUUUCACUUAACUGUGCAUGCAUAGAGCUUUUAUUAUGUAUAUAUUUUGUUAUUGUUGUGGUGCUCGGUGAAGUGGUGCAGUUUUGCAGGAAUGGCAAUUUGAAGUUAGCUUUGUGCCCGAAUAUUGGCUAUAAUAUAAGUAUUUUCGUGUCUUAUGGGUUACAAGGUUUGACUGUAUAGGGAAUCUGUAGUAUUGCAGCUGCUCUUCAAGGGCUGCACUGCAGUUUUUACUCCAUUGAUGGUUGACUCACUACAUUGUUCGCUUACUGGCUGAAACAGGGCAACAGGUUGUGGUUACUUCAUUGUGAUGGCCGUGGACAGGCAGAAACUUCCGACCCCCAUUCUUCACUUAGCCCACAGUGUGCUUUAUUUAUGAGGGCUAUGACUUUAUAGUCAUUGUGAAUUAUGAGUGCUAUAAAGCACAAGUCAUCUCAGCAGGAGUUUUCAAGAUGGCUACUGAUAUAAGCAAGAGGAAGGACAUUAAAGCUUCCUUCACAGGUACUCUUAGAGGUUGUAGUUUAGCUUUGUGUGUAAGAGCCUACAGUUACAUCCUUGUGAAGGGUUUACAAAUCUUGACGUAGUUGGUGUAAUCUUGUCGCUCUUUUUUUAUGCAUUUCCUUACGCUUUUUGUUAAAGCAAAGGUUAACGAGGCUCCGCUGAAGCUUUACAGUGACAUUGUUGUGUGAACUGUGUCUGGCCUCACUGAUUGGUUGGCAUUACACCAAAACUUUUCAUUUGACAGCACCACCACACUUGUUUGUUCCAUUUACUCCUCUGAUCCCAGUGCAGGGGGCCCAUAUUUACCACAUAGGUAUGUUGCGAUGUGUGCGUUGUGGUGAUGAGCUACCAUGACCUCUGUACCGUAAAACACUGCAGAUCAUCAUUGACCUGCACACAAACAUUAACCACUGUGAUUGCAACCGAGACAGUGGCGUGGUGAAAGGCCAGGCACUAGCUAAUCGCAAAUCACACUUUGGUAAGAGAAAUUGGGGAAAUCUGGGCCCAGAGUUCAGGCCUGUAUACAUACACUUCUUCACGAAAGUUUAAGACACAGAUUCCAAGACAAAUGUGAAUUUAUGCUGUUAAAGGGACACUAUAGACAAAUAUUAAGUCAAGCUAAAGUGAUCGAUUAGUACUCAAGAAUCUCUAAGGCGUCAAUAUUAUUGCGAACAGAGCCUUAGUAAUCGAGAAUUUGAGGUAAAUGCAGGACACAAUUUAGAGACUCCCUUGGGACAUUCAAGUACUUGCACGAUGAUGAAGGCACUCUUUUAAAUUCUCUCACUAGUACUGAACCACUCAUUAUAAAAACAUAAUUUUAUUGCAUUAUGUAAGACGAAAGAAAAUGCUGCUUGUUCAGUUCUAUUUCAUUUUUAGGAAAAACAACUAAUUGACAUUACCCUUGACGACGACAUGGGCGGUCGAAAGGUCUCGUUUUCCUUCGACUGUGCGCCGCCCGCACUUUUGCGUUCCAGUAGUUUCGUGAUCGCGUAGUGCUAUGCUGGUUUCGCUGGAUCGUGCAACUCGCACAAACUGCAAGUAGUGGAGAAUUCCACUUCCAUGUGAUGUCGCGGGAUGCCCAAUCGAUUCACGCCACUUGACCAAAAGCAACUGCAGCGGCAAAUCCACUGCUCUUUCUUGGCUCAGUUUCUCCAUGGCCGGAUGUUUGCAUUUUGUGCAAACAACCGUACCGCCGUCUGUCGGACACCGUUUUACUCACCGACGGCAGUAAAGGGUGGUGAUGGCAUGUGCAACAUCACCACUCAGUUGGGUGACGGGAGAUUUGAAUUGUGAUCAAGGUAUUUAAACCUUCAGAUGCAAUUUCUCGUUAACUAAGCCUUUUCUUGGCACGAAACAAGCGUUGCAAGGUUUCUGGAAUGGUAUUUAAGAAGUCCACGGCGACUUAAUAUUUGCCUUCAGUGUCCCUUUAAGGCACGGUGCUACUAAUUUAUUUAAUCGCUAGUGUAGGUUGUAAUACUAUUACAGAUUGACACUUUGAAUUCAAGACAAUGUGCCAUGGCUUUGCAGGAAUUAAGGUCUUUCGCAAAUACCACUGUAACUUCUGUGGCCGAUGACAGAGCCCUGAAACUGGCCAUAUUCUCGUUUCGUAGGUGGCAUGGCCACACAUUUCUGGCCACAUCUAUGCUCAGCUGUCUUUUUCCAUCUUCAUAUACGAGGUAGUGAAAGCGUCCUCUAAUUGACUUCAAAUGUUACUGUCUGCAUGUUGAAUGUAUGAAUGCCAUUCUGAUACGAUUGCCAAUGGAUUAAUGUUCAUUCAUGCUCUGCAUUGUUUGUACCAUGUACAAGCACACAAUCAUUUAGAUGAUUCCAUGCUUCACUUCCAUGAAUUGUGGCAAUCCUAAGUAGUAUUUGAAUUGUAUAAAUAAACCCUCCCCUGUUAGCGUUACAAUUUUAAUACUCUUGUCCCUCGCAAACUGCAGGACAUUUCGCUCAUUCUCAUGCUAGAAUGACUCACUGUGUAGUUGCUGGUGCUUUAUUGGCCCUGUAAGAAAAUGCAUAUGGGUCACUGAUUCUGCAUUUUGGAAUGUUUUGUAUAGUUAUGAUCUACUCACUGCUUUUUCUUUUGAGAUUGUGUCCCACAAUCUGUGGAAGACAGAUUAAGACAGAAAGCCGAUGACUUCGUUGGCAUGAAUAUGUAAAUACAAUGUGCCACUGGCAAGCUCAGAUCACGCCAACAUUUUUUAAACUUAGUAUUUGCAGCUUACACUCUCAUGAGAGAUGGAGAAUAUUUGCAAAUGUAUCUACUCUAUGUGGUGACAAUAAAUGAUAAUAAAACCUGGCAGUUCACUGAAAAGAAA
Molecule: long non-coding RNA, 9341 nt
Organism: Dermacentor silvarum
Lineage: Eukaryota; Metazoa; Arthropoda; Arachnida; Ixodida; Ixodidae
Exons: 2
Source: RefSeq, a predicted model, not a curated record